This 164-nucleotide ribosomal RNA is filed under the name uncultured bacterium. Its description in RNAcentral is "partial 16S rRNA". It matches the Rfam family "Bacterial small subunit ribosomal RNA", at positions 355 to 511 of the family's 1533-position model. The record is from RNAcentral.
UAGGGAAUCUUCGGCAAUGGACGCAAGCCUGAUGGAGCAACACCGCGUGAGUGAAGAAGGGUUUCGGCUCGUAAAGCUCUGUUGUUAAAGAAGAACACGUAUGAGAGUAACUGUUCAUACGUUGACGGUAUUUAACCAGAAAGUCACGGCUAACUACGCGCCAG